Molecule: unclassified non-coding RNA, 336 nt
Filed under: soil metagenome
Description: partial contains 5.8S ribosomal RNA, internal transcribed spacer 2, and large subunit ribosomal RNA
Rfam family: 5.8S ribosomal RNA (bases 1-120)
Source: RNAcentral
GAUGAAGAACGUAGCGAAAUGCGAUAAGUAAUGUGAAUUGCAGAAUUCAGUGAAUCAUCGAAUCUUUGAACGCACAUUGCGCCCGCCAGUAUUCUGGCGGGCAUGCCUGUUCGAGCGUCAUUUCAACCAUCAAGCCCCCGGCUUGUGUUGGGGACCUGCGGCUGCCGCAGGCCCUGAAAAGCAGUGGCGGGCUCGCUGUCACACCGAGCGUAGUAGACUUCAUCUCGCUCAGGGCGUGCUGCGGGUUCCGGCCGUUAAACCACCUUCAUAACCCAAGGUUGACCUCGGAUCAGGUAGGAAGACCCGCUGAACUUAAGCAUAUCAAUAAGCGGAGGA